GUCCAUGCCGUAAACGAUGUCUACUAGCCGUUGGGCCUUUGAGGCUUUAGUGGCGCAGCUAACGCGAUAAGUAGACCGCCUGGGGAGUACGGUCGCAAGGUUAAACUCAAAUGAAUUGACGGGGCCCGCACAAGCGGUGGAGCAUGUGGUUUAAUUCGAUGCAACGCGAAGAACCUUACCUGGUCUUGACAUAGUAAGAACUUUUCCAGAGAUGGAUUGGUGCCUUCGGGAACUUACAUACAGGUGCUGCAUGGCUGUCGU
Molecule: ribosomal RNA, 261 nt
Filed under: uncultured bacterium
Lineage: Bacteria
Description: partial 16S ribosomal RNA
Rfam family: Bacterial small subunit ribosomal RNA
Source: RNAcentral